GUUUUUGAUUCAUACAAAAAAUAAAAAAUUUCAAUCAAUAAUCAAAAUAUGCCGCACUAUAAAAGUGCAAAGCAAAUUUAGCAGGUUUUGUCCUCAUUGUAGAUUUAGUGCCAAAUUAAAAUACAUCAUUAAUUUUAAUCAGUGAUCUCUUUAAAACACAAUAAUUGAUCAAAUUAGUAUUUCUUUUCUUUAAGACAAUUUAGUAACUUUUCAAUAAAAAAUGCUUUAAUUUUAGCUUUAAAACUUUAUAUUUUUAAUGCAAAUUCUACUUUUAAUAAUUUAAAAACACAAUGUAAAGACCCACUGCGAUAGAAAUUGUGAUGAUGACGGACACAUAUAAAGAAAAUUAGGCAUAUUACUGUAUUUCUAUUGUUGUGAAUCAGGAGCAGACAAAAUAAAAAUGCAGUUUGAAAAAGAUUGUAUUUGUUACGCCGAAAAAAAUAUGCUGGGCGUGUCACAAGCUCCAAGCUCUCACAGCAAAGAAGGGAAGGGGGGCGGGGUCGCUCUCGGCCAACAAUCCCAUCCAAUACUCAGAGGUGAACUUCGAACAAACUUAAAGGAGCCCAGCCACAAUUACAGACUUGCCUCUAAUGUAAGAAGCACCGGAUGCAUCCGGCGUUUAUUGGAGAUCAAUAAGUAACGGGCCACUAAUGGAAGGUAUAAGGUUUGGCAACUCUUUGAAUAGAUGAUUGCAAUGGGUCUCUAAAGGUAAAAAUAAAUAUUUUAAACCUAAGUCCAAAAAAGUCUGGAUUUGUCACAUCCGUCAUGUUGAGGGAAAAGAAAAUUUAAAAUGAUUUUUUCCCCCCCAACUUCAGUUCCAGGAGCUUCAAGUGGACAGGGAGACGCUUCUGACCUCCAACCGGAGCGUCGCCGAGGAGAGUCUCGCCCGGCGACCUCACCUCAACAACGGCAAACUCCAGCUGGCGGAGAAAUACAAGGAGCUGUCCAACCUGGUGACCACGUGCUGGGAGAAGCAGAGUCAGCUGGACGCUCGCGGACAGAAGCACAGCCUACAGACGGCGCAGAACCUCCUGCAGGAGGAGGUGGCACGAGCUGAGGAGCAGUCAGAGGUAGGACGACACAAAAGCUCCUUUGUUUUCAGAGGCAGACGGCGUUUUUAUCUCUCUGUGGUGGGGAGUUUUGACGCAGUGAACCCACACACGUCCGUGGCUUUGGCUCACUAAAGCCCAUAUGCAUGCCGCAUGGAUGUCACAACAUGUUAGCAAUCGACAUGCAACCGACCUUCUGCAGACAUGCAGUUGACAAGCAGCAAACCUGAAACCAAGAUGCAUGUAAAAUACAGCCGACAUGCAGCUGGCAUCCAACAGAUGUGUAAUCAACGUGCUGCUAACAUGCAGCCUAAAUAUAGCUAACAUGUAGCUAAUAUGCUGCAGGCAUUAAACAGACAUGCAGCCAACAUACCGCUAACAUGCAGCCAACAUGCUGCAUGCAGCAGACAUGCCGCCAACAUGCAGUCCACGCUCAUGGAAACCCAACUCUCCCCGUCUGCUCUGGAUUCUGAUUGUUCUUCGGAGACAAAUUCCUGUUGGUCUGAAGUUCCCAAACGUCUCUGAAGUGUCUGAUGCCUUCACAGGUGUCUGUUAAACCCAGCUGUGAAAGGAGGGUCGUCACUGUGACACACAGCUGAGUCCAAAGACGCAUGCUGACAUGUUUAUC
This is a long non-coding RNA of Oryzias sinensis (Chinese medaka), 1677 nucleotides long. NCBI's taxonomy places the organism in Eukaryota, Metazoa, Chordata, Actinopteri, Beloniformes, Adrianichthyidae. The record is from Ensembl.